This 377-nucleotide ribosomal RNA is filed under the name uncultured Lactobacillus sp. RNAcentral's name for it is "bacterial SSU rRNA". It matches the Rfam family "Bacterial small subunit ribosomal RNA", at positions 523 to 898 of the family's 1533-position model. The record is from RNAcentral. Lineage: Bacteria; Bacillati; Bacillota; Bacilli; Lactobacillales; Lactobacillaceae.
AUACGUAGGUGGCAAGCGUUAUCCGGAUUUAUUGGGCGUAAAGCGAGCGCAGGCGGUUUUUUAAGUCUGAUGUGAAAGCCCUCGGCUUAACCGAGGAAGUGCAUCGGAAACUGGGAAACUUGAGUGCAGAAGAGGACAGUGGAACUCCAUGUGUAGCGGUGAAAUGCGUAGAUAUAUGGAAGAACACCAGUGGCGAAGGCGGCUGUCUGGUCUGUAACUGACGCUGAGGCUCGAAAGCAUGGGUAGCGAACAGGAUUAGAUACCCUGGUAGUCCAUGCCGUAAACGAUGAAUGCUAGGUGUUGGAGGGUUUCCGCCCUUCAGUGCCGCAGCUAACGCAUUAAGCAUUCCGCCUGGGGAGUACGACCGCAAGGUUGAA